Papio anubis (olive baboon) is the source of this 73-nucleotide non-coding RNA. Lineage: Eukaryota; Metazoa; Chordata; Mammalia; Primates; Cercopithecidae. The record is from Rfam.
GAGAUUGAAGCCUGUUGAUGAGGGUGUUUAGCUGUUAACUAAAUUUUCGUGGGUUUGAAUUCCAUCAACCUAG